GACUUAGAAAAUUAACACCAGGAUUAAGAAGGGGAAAUACUGAUCUGGGCGUUGCCAGGAUUUUCGACUGCUUUUCAUUUUUUCUUUCAGCCUUCCUCCGCCUCUGACGUGCACCCAGAAGGACGUGACACGAGAUUGCCUCCAGCCCCUGCUGACCCAUCCUCCCCGCUGCAUUUCCCACAGCCCGUGGUGGAGAUACCACAGCCCGGCUCUCGCACCGGCUCCGGCCCAGCAGAAACAAGGAAAAGUAGCAUGAGUAGCACGAUGUCGAGCAGCUUUAGGGAGAGUGAGGCCCAUCAGUUUCUGUUGUUCAACAUCACCUCCAAGUACAGUGAGGUCUUAGAGGAAGUGCCGAAGAACAAGUUGCAGCCUGGGGACAUCCUGCUCUUCCCCUUGGACAGCAAAUAUGGCAGAGCCAGUGGCAGCCUCAAGCACGCAGCAGUCUACUGUGGGGAUGGAGAAGUCAUACACUUCCAAGAUAGAGGAAGGGGGAAGAGUGGUCUGAUCCUCAAGGAGGGCUUCCGAGUCAUGAAAAUGGAGAGGAAGGAAUACCAGGUUUAUCGCAAAAAAGGUGGGAUCAACCUCAAUGACUUCCGUGUUAAGGUCAGGAAGGCGAUGAACAGCCAAGCCAAGUAUAGUCUGCGGAAAAACAACUGCAUCCACUUUGCCCUCUUCCUCGUGGGCUUGGCGGACUUCGACAUGAAAGAGGUGAGCACGGAGCUGGGUCUCAUGGCUGUGGUGGGAUGGCUCCUGCCCCCACAGCCAGCCCUGCGCUUGAAUCCUGACCUGCUUCCCCCCGGGGCUGGCCCAUGGGCUGUGGGGACAGCGGUGGGGACAGCCGAGCCCCCUGCACAUGGACAGCUUUCUCUUGCAGGUGGAAACCCCUGACGAAGAUUACAGCUACAGCGAUGGGGCCGUGAGUAUCCCUGGUGUCAGCCCUCCCCAGCACGGCUGUGGGGUUCUCGGGAGGACUUGGUGUCCCAAUGAGGGCUGGGUCCCCAAGAGGACUUUGGGGUGCCCACGAGGCCUGAGUCUCAAAGAGGAGUGGGGACUCUGGGUGGGCUGCAGAGUCCCCAGGAGGCCUGUGGGCCUCCCAAGGGAGCUGGGGUGUCUCCGAAGCUGGAGUCCCCAAACAAGGCUGGAGUCCCCAAACAGGGCUGAGGUCCCGAGAAGCCCGUCUAGGUCUCCAAAGAGCUGUGAGGUCACCAGGAGGCCUGGGGGGUUCCCAGGAGGGCUGGGUUUCUGCUGA
Molecule: long non-coding RNA, 1249 nt
Filed under: Calidris pugnax (ruff)
Lineage: Eukaryota; Metazoa; Chordata; Aves; Charadriiformes; Scolopacidae
Description: lncRNA (ENSCPUG00000015247.1)
Source: RNAcentral